CUCACGCUGGGCCCUGUGCCUGGAACGCCCUCGUGCCUUCUCUGCCUUCACAGCCCUGCUGGGGGCUUUUGCGUGCUCCCUAGCUCUUCUUACAGGCCUUUCACCGCUGGUUCAGCCUUUGUGGAGCACUUAGAGACCGUGUUCCCAGCACUCCCCACUAUGUGCAGGAGGUGAAGCCUUGAACACACUUGCUGAAGAACGAACAUAAGGCAGGUUCUGGGAUUGACGGGGGCUGCUUUAGAGUGGGUGGUCCCGUAGGCCAGACACUGGAGCUGAAACAUAAAUGAAUUAAAAGGAACCAACUUAGCUUUUCAGUUGUAAGGUGCCAAGGCCCAGGCUUGGAACAAAGUCAAGCACAAUACACUAGUUCGCUGCAGGACUUAACAUCCUGGGUGAUAGUGACUGAUUUGUAACCGCAGUACCCAGCACAGUGCCUGAUACACAAUGUUUGGAAUAUGUGAAAGCACUCUGUAUACUACAAAACAUCCUUUCCCAGUGGGUUUAUUUCCUGGGCCACACACCUUUUGGUUGCUAGGGGGGUGAUAACUAGAAGACGGUCGCCCAACUCCGGAGGGUGAAGCAUAGCGCCUGAAGCCAGAGGGCCUACACGGCAUCUGUAAAAUUCCACCCCAUUUCAGCGCUGGGGUUGUAAACAAAAUUAGUCUCACCCCAAAAUUGCCAAAAGAAGACAGCUUUUUCCACUAGAAGAAACGGGUUAGGGAAUAGAAUCAGGAACCUUCACUCGUUGAGUUUUUUUGACUGAUGUUAGCUGCUUAGGGUUGUAUCCAGUUAAUCAUCAAGACUGGAGAGUUGUCUUGCUAAGGUUUAGGAAGACCAGUGUGAUUCUGUCCAGAUGCCACACUAUCACUAUCUAGAGGUGUGACCUUGGGUAAGUCAACCUUUUUGGACUUUGGUCUGGGUCAGAAGGCUGCAAGGUGCCAUCUGGGGGCAGCUAUCUGCAAAGCCUCUGCUCUGCGCCCGGCGCUGUGCGGGGCCGCUCAGUUUUCAGCAGUGUUUUUGUACCGGCAUUUUGCAGGUGGGAAACAAGCUCAGGGAGGUUGCGUGGCUUUGCCCAAGGUCCCUCAGGUGUGGCUGCUCUCCCUAGCCCCUGUACUCCUCACCAUACCCUGCUGAAUAUGGCCACAGCUUUUUGGGUUUGGAAUCCAAAAAUGACAUAUUUUUCGUAAAGCAAAAGCAAACUUAUUCGAGCUUAGGCAGCAUGAUGGGAUUGUAUUUUGUAGCUAAUCUAAUGGAGACGAUAUAAAUUCUACCUGCAAUAAUAUACCUUUGCAGCACAUUCUUUUAAUACUCUUUCAGCCCCAGCUGUGUCAUGGAGGCCACAAAGGCAAACCGGAUGCGUACUUUGCCCCUCAGUAGUUUAUGAACUAACAGGAGAUGAAACAAGACCCAGAUAACUUCUAGUCAAGGCCAGAAAGCUAAAGAUAGUGAAAAAGAACUGAAUGUAUUUAGAGAAAGGGAGAUUGUUCCUGGCUGAGGACAUCAGAAGCAGCUUUGUUGAAGAAGUGGUAUCUGAACUAGAUUUGAAAGGGUGCGUCUGAGUUGAAAAUGCAGAAGGGGAGAGGCAGGUUCUGGGGCGGUUGGGGGUGCAUUUCAACAACCACAGCAGAAGGCCCAGUGUUCGCUGUGGGGGUGGUGUGGAUCAGCAGCACAGACCAAUGGACACACUUGGGUCAGAUCGAGGCCCCUGUCUCUCCCCAUCCUCCCUCUUCCCCACCCCACAGAAAUUUCCAGUUCCAUCCAACAUGCUGUGCCCCUUUUCAUGCAUCCGUGCAUUUACACAUGGAUGUGUGCCCUUUUUCACCUGGCAAAAAUUCCCAGCCUUCAAAAUGCCCCUCAGAGAUCACAGCUUCUGGGCAGCCCACCACCUCUGGGCUGUUCCUGCCUCUUGAUUGCACCUGUUGUACCAUGAUGACAUUUUUCCUGUCUGCCUCACCUGUCUGCAUUCCUUAGGGAAGCUUGUCUGCCUUCAGAAUCAUCAGUGGAGCUUUUGAAAGGGCAGAUCUUGGGGCCUCACCCCAGGAGAUCCGAUUCAGCAGGUCUGCGGGGACUGAGGUAUGGCAGGGGAAACCGCCCCCAUCUCAAGGGUGAGGUUAGGACUUGGCUCCUGUGUAUGUAUUCCACCCAGAAAUACUGAGUUAACAUUAGCUGAAUUAACUAAACAAAGUAUCAAGCAUAAUACCCACAGGGUAAGCCAGUGAGGAUAGAGGAUAAAUACAUUAUUAGUCUGGCUUUGCCGCUGUGGUUAUCCUCAAACAGUAGGGUUUAGUGUAUGUAUGUAUAUGUAUUAUGUUUUUGUUUUGGGGUUUUGUUGAGACAGGGUCUUUCUUUCUCA
Molecule: long non-coding RNA, 2353 nt
Filed under: Homo sapiens (human)
Lineage: Eukaryota; Metazoa; Chordata; Mammalia; Primates; Hominidae
Description: HSALNT0216290
Source: RNAcentral